UCAGGGGAUUUAGUCUACACUGCGUGAGCGGAACGAAAACAACAACACCUAAAAUGUGGAAUAUAGCAUAUAGUCGACAAGAGAAAUCUACGAAAAACAAACAAAACUUUCAACAACGGAUCUCUUGGUUCUCGCAUCGAUGAAGAGCGCAGCGAAAUGCGAUACCUAGUGUGAAUUGCAGCCAUCGUGAAUCAUCGAGUUCUUGAACGCACAUUGCGCCCCUCGGCAUUCCGGGGGGCAUGCCUGUUUGAGCGUCGUUUCCAUCUUGCGCGUGCGCAGAGUUGGGGGAGCGGAGCGGACGACGUGUAAAGAGCGUCGGAGCUGCGACUCGCCUGAAAGGGAGCGAAGCUGGCCGAGCGAACUAGACUUUUUUUCAGGGACGCUUGGCGGCCGAGAGCGAGUGUUGCGAGACAACAAAAAGCUCGACCUCAAAUCAGGUAGGAAUACCCGCUGAACUUAAGCAUAUCAAUAAGCGGAGGAA
Molecule: ribosomal RNA, 481 nt
Filed under: Pichia kudriavzevii
Lineage: Eukaryota; Fungi; Ascomycota; Pichiomycetes; Pichiales; Pichiaceae
Description: eukaryotic LSU rRNA
Rfam family: 5.8S ribosomal RNA (bases 105-257)
Source: RNAcentral